Molecule: ribosomal RNA, 253 nt
Filed under: uncultured bacterium
Lineage: Bacteria
Description: partial 16S ribosomal RNA
Rfam family: Bacterial small subunit ribosomal RNA
Source: RNAcentral
UACAGAGGUCUCAAGCGUUGUUCGGAUUCAUUGGGCGUAAAGGGUGCGUAGGCGGCGCGGUAAGUGGGGUGUGAAAUUUCGGAGCUUAACUCCGAAACUGCAUUCCAUACUGCGGUGCUUGAGGACUGGAGAGGAGACUGGAACUUACGGUGUAGCAGUGAAAUGCGUAGAGAUCGUAAGGAAGACCAGUGGCGAAGGCGGGUCUCUGGACAGUUCCUGACGCUGAGGCACGAAGGCCAGGGGAGCAAACGGG